GACGAACGCUGGCGGCGUGCUUAACACAUGCAAGUCGAACGGAAAGGCCCUGCUUUUGUGGGGUGCUCGAAUGGCGAACGGGUGAGUAACACGUGAGUAACCUGCCCUUGACUUUGGGAUAACUUCAGGAAACUGGGGCUAAUACCGGAUAGGAGCUCCUGCUGCAUGGUGGGGGUUGGAAAGUUUCGGCGGUUGGAGAUGGACUCGCGGCUUAUCAGCUUGUUGGUGGGGUAGUGGCUUACCAAGGCUUUGACGGGUAGCCGGCCUGAGAGGGUGACCGGCCACAUUGGGACUGAGAUACGGCCCAGACUCCUACGGGAGGCAGCAGUGGGGAAUAUUGCACAAUGGGCGGAAGCCUGAUGCAGCAACGCCGCGUGCGGGAUGACGGCCUUCGGGUUGUAAACCGCUUUCGCCUGUGACGAAGCGUGAGUGACGGUAAUGGGUAAAGAAGCACCGGCUAACUACGUG
RNAcentral lists this ribosomal RNA (468 nucleotides) under uncultured bacterium. RNAcentral's name for it is "partial 16S ribosomal RNA". It matches the Rfam family "Bacterial small subunit ribosomal RNA", at positions 28 to 507 of the family's 1533-position model. The record is from RNAcentral.